AUUGAUUAAGAAGAAAAUUUCUUAUAAAUAGAUU
Molecule: transfer RNA, 34 nt
Filed under: Drosophila ochracea
Lineage: Eukaryota; Metazoa; Arthropoda; Insecta; Diptera; Drosophilidae
Description: tRNA-Tyr
Source: RNAcentral